UGGGGAAUAUUGCACAAUGGGCGCAAGCCUGAUGCAGCCAUGCCGCGUGUGUGAAGAAGGCCUUCGGGUUGUAAAGCACUUUCAGCGAGGAGGAAGGUGGUGAGCUUAAUACGCUCAUCAAUUGACGUUACUCGCAGAAGAAGCACCGGCUAACUCCGUGCCAGCAGCCGCGGUAAUACGGAGGGUGCAAGCGUUAAUCGGAAUUACUGGGCGUAAAGCGCACGCAGGCGGUUUGUUAAGUCAGAUGUGAAAAUCCCCGGGCUCAACCUGGGAACUGCAUUUGAAAACUGGCAAGCUAGAGUCUCGUAGAGGGGGGUAGAAUUCCAGGUGUAGCGGUGAAAUGCGUAGAGAUCUGGAGGAAUACCGGUGGCGAAGGCGGCCCCCUGGACGAAGACUGACGCUCAGGUGCGAAAAGCGUGGGGAGCAAAACAGGAUUAGAUACCCUGGUAAGUCCACGCUGUAAAAACGAUGUCGAUUUGGAGGUUGUGCCCUUGAGGCGUGGCUUCCGGAGCUAAACGCGUUAAAAUCGACCGCCUGGGGAGU
Molecule: ribosomal RNA, 543 nt
Filed under: uncultured bacterium
Lineage: Bacteria
Description: partial 16S ribosomal RNA
Rfam family: Bacterial small subunit ribosomal RNA
Source: RNAcentral